GCCAACUAACUAGCUCUGUUGGUAGAGCACGAGACUCUUAAUCUGAGGGUUGUGGGUUCGAAUCCCAGGUUGGGCA
Molecule: non-coding RNA, 76 nt
Organism: Podarcis lilfordi (Lilford's wall lizard)
Lineage: Eukaryota; Metazoa; Chordata; Lepidosauria; Squamata; Lacertidae
Source: the annotation of a GenBank genome assembly